GAUCCUGGCUCAGGAUGAACGCUAGCUACAGGCUUAACACAUGCAAGUCGAGGGGCAUCAGGGUGUAGCAAUACGCCGCUUGCGAUCGGCGCACGGGUGAGUAACACGUAUCCAACCUGCCCUUUACUCGGGGAUAGCCCUUCGAAAGAAAGAUUAAUACCCGAUGGCAUAACAUGACCUCCUGGUUUUGUUAUUAAAGAAUUUCGGUAGAGGAUGGGGAUGCGUUCCAUUAGGCAGUUGGCGGGGUAACGG
RNAcentral lists this ribosomal RNA (252 nucleotides) under uncultured bacterium. RNAcentral describes it as "partial 16S ribosomal RNA". It matches the Rfam family "Bacterial small subunit ribosomal RNA", at positions 15 to 263 of the family's 1533-position model. The record is from RNAcentral.